AUUAACUGCGAUUUGGGGUUGAUUUUUAUUAUGUAGCUCUAUGUAUCAUUUUUUUGAGUUUUAUUUGUGUUGUUGUGUUCACCAAUUUAAGGUACCUGUGGUGACCUUCUUUUCUUGAUUAAUGUAGAGUUGUACUAUUUUUCUUAAGGAAAAGUGCGAUUUAUUCUAUUAUACCAAAGAAUGAAGAAUUGGUGUCGAAAUAAGUAUGUUGGAUUAGGGCUUUUGGCUUUGAGAAAGGGACAAUAAGCAAGUUGGUUUAGAGUUUUUCGAAAUAGGUUCUUUGGUGGUGUUGGAUAAUUACUUUAGCUUCACAUAUAAUUUGUGCCUGAUUCGACAAUGGGUUUGAUCCGAUGAUUGUGAAAUUUUUUUUAUUGAUCCAGAUAUGCUCAAUCUUGCCAAUUUUGAAUGUGUUGAUAUUUGCAUGUUAGCUAAGAUGCAUGAAUUUGAGGUACUGAAUAGAAGCAGGCAGAAGGUUGUGAUUGAAAAAUAUUGUCUAGAUAUAUUGUCGAGAGAUAGAAGAUACUUGAUGAAAUAGUUGAAAUGUUCAAGCGAAACCAGACACCAUCAAUUUAAGGAAAAACAUUGUGUAGAUGCAUUGCUUUCUCUCUCAGAGGCAGUGCAUGAAAAUGCUGUUGCUAGAUGUGUCAAUGUGACGUGAUGAUCAAGCUGCACCAAUAUCUCACACUGAGAAGAUAAUAUUAAGAGGCGGGGAGUAAUAAUGCAUGCUGGAACUUCUGGGAUUUAUCCAAAACGAAGAGAAAUUGCAACCUAUGAAAUCUCACAAGUGAUUGAAGAUUAUCACAAGGCGACUUUAAAUGCUAUUGAAGCAGGCUGGGAUAAAUACAAUUCGUGAAGGUCAUAGCAGUUAUGCACCAAAUGCAGAGGUGAGUGGGUUAUUAUACAUUCAUGAUAAGAUUCUGAUAAAGAAUGCGGCAAAACAAAGUACUAUUCAGGUAGUGCUUGCAGAUUGUUCCCAGGGGAUGAGAUAUCAGGGACUGUUGUAAAACAAUUUGGCAAUAGAUUAGCAUCACAUAUCUACAUGACAACAUGUUUCUCAGGUGAAGAAAAUAUUUAUUCCCUUCUAAUUAUACUGUUAUAAGGCCCUUUAGCCUAAUCGCUGAUUCAAGAAAUUGCAUAUAAAAGGGUAACUGGAAAUUGAAGCAGGUAGAGCUAGAAACUAAGGUGUAUGAGACAUUGAAUGUCAAAAUAAAAAUUAGGAUAACUUUGUUCACCCAGGCUUAGUGGAAAAAUAUUGCAACUUUCUUUUGUUUCUUUAGCAUUUUGGUGUAAAAAGAAAACACCUUCUUGUCUAGAUAGCUUGGUACAGCUCCUUGGGAGGCUUACUUAUUGUUAGAAGUUACAAAAUAUCAUUUUGGAGUAGUAUUAAUGGACUCUAUUAAUUUAUCAAACAAAAAAGGAGAUAACACCAAGAGCUAGUUGUUUAAAUUAUAUUAUUUUGUUGCUUACCCUACACUAGUGAAGUACCAAACAGUAAACCACGCUAUAAUUAUCAAAAAAUUCAAAUAUAAUAAAUUAAAAAGAAUUAAAGGUUAUUAUCAGUGAUAAAAAGCGCAUCCUGAUAGUGAUCUAAUAGGCAUUCCAAUAAUUAAAGGCAAAGCUGCAAGAAUUAGACAGUAAAUUCACCUAACUGAAGAUACUUUCAACAGGUAUUGAAAGAACAACUUAUUUAUCUGAAUUAUUAGAUGAAAUUAUGGCCAUAGAUGGGUUGCAUCUAGGUAGUGAACGAAAAUAGUUGAUGCUUUUCAAAAUAUUUUACAUUAAAAAUAGAUGUCAGACUAAAUUAUUCCUAAUCUAUUGAGAUAUGUUGCAGUUGGUAGUUGUUUAUGGCAAAGCAACCAUAUGAAGUGUAAGAUCUUAGGUGGAAUAUGCAAUCUUUACAUCCAACUAAAAAUUGUUGUGGUUUGGAUAGUGUCUAUUCUCUCUUAAUAAGAGUGUAAGUGGAUUUGGUGCUAAAAAGAUCAAUACCCAUACUUUGAGUAUCAUUAAUUUGGAUCCUUAAAAGUGUCCAUUUGAAGUUUUGAGAACUUCAAAUGAUAAGAGAAAUUUUAAUGUGCCUUGAAAGACAACUUUCCUAUAUUGGACUGAAAUAAGUUAAAUAGACGUAGAUGAUAUAGACAACCUCAUCUAGUUACUUUAAUGUGCAGUAAAAAAUAGAUGAAAAUACAAUCUAAUUUUUUGCGAUAUUGAUUGUGUAUACAAAUCUUUGGAUACUCUCCAUCAUGAUUUUAUUGGGAUAGUUUGAUUCGCUCUCUGAAGAAAACUUUUAGUGUGAUUAUUUUAAAAUUUUAUAUAAAUAUUUGAUGUCUUAUAUAUUCAUAUGUUUAUACUGAUUUUGUUUGGUGACAUGAGUAUAGGAAUAAGGACUAAAUUUUGAAUGAAAAGAGCAUAUACUUGAGAAAGUUUGGUAAUUUGUGCUACAAUCGUGUCAAUAUCUCCCAUUCAGCAUUUACAUAUGACAGUAAUUUGGGCAAUUUCAUGGCAAUAUCAACAAAUAAAUUUAGGUACAAAUUUACAACUCUUAAUACUUGGCAUAAUAUUUAUUUUAGAUUCACACAAUUACAUAUUAAAAAUUGCGGAACAUAUUUGGUAGAAUUGAGACCUAGAGGAUGCUUCACAAUCUGGUAAAAAAUACUUGGUUGGACCCUUUAAAUUGUCUGAGAAAUACGCAUGUUAUGUUAGAACAAUAUUAAGUUUUCUAUAUUUUGAUCUUAGCUUUUUUCACAAUUGACCUUAUUAUUAAUCAUGUAAGAAUGACUUCUAUGUGGAGACAAAAUGAUUUAUAUGUACCUAUUCGGAGGUAGACCACUUGUACACUUCUUUUUUUUUGGUUGAUUUAUAUACAUCACUUCCUCUGGUAGACACAUUCUUCCAUCCACAGUCAAUAAAUAUUCAAUAAUAAUCUCAAAUAAUAUUGUUAACCUUCUCUUUGGUUCCCAAUGACAUUAAAGAGGAGAACAAAUAAAUGAAAUUUUAAAUGUACAAAAAUUAAGACUGUUUGUGUUGGGUGCCUUACCAACAAUAAUUUGACUAAUUGUUGAUCUCGUGUGUGUAGAACUCUACUAAUCUUGUGCGAUUGUGUCUACUAACUUUUUCCAGGUAUGCCUUCUUCCUCAUCCUCGCCUUCUUCAAGACAAUUCAUUCUCAAUUGUUGAUUCUUAUUAUUGUACUCCUCUUCAUCAUAUUUCUAAGGGUUUUCACACUUUUAAUACAUUAUAGAUAGAUAUAGAUUAUAGAUUAUAGAUACAAAUAUAGAUUAUAGAUACUACUCUGGUGAAUUGGUGAAUUAUCGAUGAUUACUAUACGAUAUGAUAAAAUUAUGUUAAUUUUUAUAGGAGUAACAUAAUCAAUCACUCUUUAAGUAAUUAUAAUGAGUCAUCUAGGUAUUAAGAGAAUAAAUAAAAUUUAAUAAAAAGAUAAAAUAGACAUAAAAUGUGAAAUUAACUCUUGAGGUUUUAAACUAAAUUGUCGUCCUUCAAACGAUAAUUUUACUGUACCAUCCCUUAUUAUAAGUCAUUUAUGUAUCAAAAAAUUAAGAAUAACAAAAUGAUAUGUCAACAUAAAAAAAAAUUGAUUGACUAUCAAAAUUAUAUUAGUGCCAAAUAAAUUAGGACGAGAUAGAAGAAGAUAUAAAAGCAACAUAUAUUAUUUGAAAAUGAAAUAAAAAGUAUUGUAAACAACAAUAAUUAACAAAAAAAUUUAAAAAAUUGACUGAUCGCUAAAAUUUUAUCUGUGCCGCAUAAAUUGGGAUGAAGAAAAUGUUCAUCUCAUUGAAAAAUAUGUAAAAAAUAUUAUAAAUCACAUAAUUAACAAUUUUAAAAUAUAAAAUAUUUGUCUGACUCUUGAAAUUAUAUUAUUGUCAUUUAAAUUAAAAUAGAAGAAAAAUAUUAUAAAUCACAAUAAUUAAAAACUUAAAUUAUUUUAACAGAAAAGGGUCAAAAAUACUUCUGAACUAUCUGAAAUGGAUAAAAAAUAUUCUCGUUAAUUUUUUGGCUUAAGAAUAUCCCUCCGUUAAAUAUUUGGCUAAAAAAAUACCCCUCCUCCUAAUAGAAUUCCAACAAUGACACCACCUAGAUAAAAAAAACCACCUGGACAUUCCACAUCUUUUUUUUUUGGAUUUAAUUUUUGAAUUUUAUUCAAAUUAAAAACCAAUCACAUAGUCUUUACACAUUGAGAAGUUGUUGGAUAUUCCACAUCACUAUCCACAUGUAUAAUUCUUUUUAAGAAUCCAUCAGCCCAUCAACGAUCAACAACCCCAUUUGACUUAAAACCUUAAAUUUUUGUACCAAUUUUGUAGCAAGAACAUUUUAACAAUUGUUGCAGCCUAAAUGGUGAUAUAUUCAAUGGAAAAUUAACUAAAUGAUGGAACCAAUCCCUUUAUACAAUUUUUGCAAAAUGAUGAAACCAAUUUGUCUCUCAAGAUGAUUUUCUUGUCCACCACCUUUGAAACUGUUAUCAAUCAAUUGUCCCACAUUGGAAAAAUAGAAAAAUGCUAAGGGGAUUAUAAGCCAAAUGAGUUCUCCCACCUAUUAGACUAGUCUUUUGGGUUGGACUCUCCCGUUUAGUUUAUAACAUUGGUGCUUUUAUUGAGAGUCCCACGCGUUGGGCUGUGACUUUGAGUGGUGGUCUGCGCGCUAGGAGUGGUGGCUUGGACCCAAGAGGGGUGCCAGUCGUGAUCAACUGGCGUAGCCAUGACCAACAAGGAUCGAUUCACGUGUGGGGAGCCGCGCAUUGGGCCGUGACUCGUAGUGGUGAUCUGAACCCAAGAGGGGUGCCAGCCGUAAGCCAAAUGUGUUCUCCCAUCUAUUAGACUAGUCUUUUGGGUUGGGCUCCAGAAACAAAAUUAUAAAUGCAGUGUGGCAGUCUACACAAACUCUGACAUUAUACGGAUAGGGACCCAGGUGGAGAAUUGAGAAGUGCAAACGCUAAAGUCGAGUGAUUCUCUAUGGUAUUGCAACCUCUCUUCCCUCUGAUCCAUAAGUCAAAGAUGCACCGAUUCUUUGGGAGAAAAGACAUCAUUUUUUCCUGAACUUGUCGCCAAAAUUUACUUUAGCACUUAAACUUAACUUAUAAUUUAUUUACCCCCCUUAACAACUUUCAACUGAAUUUUUUACCACUCUAAUUACUGACGUGACAAAUUUUUUAAAAAUCAGUCCAUAAAUAACUUUAAAAACGUGGAAAAAAGGUGGGGUCCACCUUUUAAAUUUUAUAAUUUAAUAUAUAUAUAAUAAUAAUAAUAAUAAGAAAACAUCUACUUCACUUCUUCAUCUUCUUCAACCCCAUCCCCCUCGUUCCCCUCACCCCCACCCCCAGCACAUCGUUGUAACAUUGAAUUUAAUUUUUCUUCUUUCCAGCAAUGAAUCUGAAUAUUUGUCAAUAUUUUGUUAAUUUUGAUUGUUAAAAACGUUGAGGGAGUUAGAAUUGAAGGUUGAAAUAAUAUUUUAAUGGAGGAAAAAUCUUAAAUUGAUUUGAGAUUUUAUUUUUGAUGUGUUUUUGUGAUUAUGUACUUGUAUUAAGUCCAUUGUUGGAUUUACUCAAGUUAAUUCAAGUCAUUUUUUCAUGUGAUGAAGAAAAAAACUCAUUGAAAACUUGCAACAAUGGAGAAUAUUGAUAGGUGGGUUCUUCUAAAACUGAUACUGUAACUUAUGGUAGUGGAAUUGUCUCUGUAGGUUAAUUUGUGGGAUUGUAAAUUUAUCUUAGGAAAUUAUGACUUAAUUCAAUGUGUAUGAUUAAGGAGGAAGAACGAGGGUAUAUAUGUAAAAAUAGGUUAUUUAUAUGUUUUAUUUUUUUUAAAAAAUAUAUAAAAUGUAUGUGUGUGAUUACUUUUUAAAAAAUAAAAUUAUAAUUUCUUACGUGGCAAUGACAUGACACUGAUGUGGCACUGAUUUGGUAAUGA
This is a long non-coding RNA of Capsicum annuum, 5914 nucleotides long. RefSeq lists it as uncharacterized. The transcript has 5 exons. Lineage: Eukaryota; Viridiplantae; Streptophyta; Magnoliopsida; Solanales; Solanaceae. The record is from RefSeq and is a predicted model, not a curated record.